This 484-nucleotide ribosomal RNA is filed under the name uncultured bacterium. RNAcentral's name for it is "partial 16S ribosomal RNA". It matches the Rfam family "Bacterial small subunit ribosomal RNA", at positions 28 to 523 of the family's 1533-position model. The record is from RNAcentral.
GACGAACGCUGGCGGCGUGCUUAACACAUGCAAGUCGAACGAUGAAGCUGGAGCUUGCUCCGGUGGAUUAGUGGCGAACGGGUGAGUAACACGUGAGCAAUAUGCCCUUGACUCUGGGAUAACUGCGGGAAACUGUAGCUAAUACAGGAUACUUUCUCUGGAAGGCAUCUUCUGGUGAAGAAAGAAUUUCGGUCAAGGAUGAGGUCACGGCCUAUCAGCUUGUUGGUGAGGUAACGGCUCACCAAGGCGACGAAGGGUAGCCGGCAUGAGAGGGGAAACGGCCACACUGGGACUGAGACAGGGCCCAGAGUCCUACGGGAGGCAGCAGUGGGGAAGAUUGCACAAUGGGAGCAAGCCUGAUGCAGCAACGCCGCGUGAGGGAUGAAGGCCUUCGGGUUGUAAACCUCUUUUAGCAGGGAAGAAGCGAAAGUGACGGUACCUGCAGAAAAAGCACCGGCUAACUACGUGCCAGCCGCCGCGGUAA